RNAcentral lists this ribosomal RNA (398 nucleotides) under uncultured Prevotella sp. RNAcentral describes it as "bacterial SSU rRNA". It matches the Rfam family "Bacterial small subunit ribosomal RNA", at positions 352 to 746 of the family's 1533-position model. Lineage: Bacteria; Pseudomonadati; Bacteroidota; Bacteroidia; Bacteroidales; Prevotellaceae. The record is from RNAcentral.
UGAGGGAAUAUUUGGGUCAAUGGGCGCGAGCCUGAACCAGCCAAGUAGCGUGCAGGAUGACGGCCCUAUGGGUUGUAAACUGCUUUUAUGCGGGGAUAAAGUGAGGGACGCGUCCCUUUUUGCAGGUACCGCAUGAAUAAGGACCGGCUAAUUCCGUGCCAGCAGCCGCGGUAAUACGGGAAGGUCCGGGCGUUAUCCGGAUUUAUUGGGUUUAAAGGGAGCGUAGGCCGUCUUAUAAGCGUGUUGUGAAAUGUCGGGGCUCAACCUGGGCAUUGCAGCGCGAACUGUGAGACUUGAGUGCGCAGGAAGUAGGCGGAAUUCGUCGUGUAGCGGUGAAAUGCUUAGAUAUGACGAAGAGCUCCGAUUGCGAAGGCAGCCUGCUGUAGCGCAACUGACGC